RNAcentral lists this ribosomal RNA (429 nucleotides) under Pseudomonadota bacterium. RNAcentral describes it as "Proteobacteria bacterium partial 16S ribosomal RNA". It matches the Rfam family "Bacterial small subunit ribosomal RNA", at positions 355 to 776 of the family's 1533-position model. The record is from RNAcentral. Lineage: Bacteria; Pseudomonadati; Pseudomonadota.
UGGGGAAUAUUGGACAAUGGGCGAAAGCCUGAUCCAGCCAUGCCGCGUGUGUGAAGAAGGUCUUCGGAUUGUAAAGCACUUUAAGUUGGGAGGAAGGGCAGUAAGCGAAUACCUUGCUGUUUUGACGUUACCGACAGAAUAAGCACCGGCUAACUCUGUGCCAGCAGCCGCGGUAAUACAGAGGGUGCAAGCGUUAAUCGGAAUUACUGGGCGUAAAGCGCGCGUAGGUGGUUCGUUAAGUUGAAUGUGAAAGCCCCGGGCUCAACCUGGGAACUGCAUCUGAAACUGGAGAGCUAGAGUAGGGCAGAGGGUGGUGGAAUUUCCUGUGUAGCGGUGAAAUGCGUAGAUAUAGGAAGGAACACCAGUGGCGAAGGCGACCACCUGGGCUCAUACUGACACUGAGGUGCGAAAGCGUGGGGAGCAAACAGG